GACGAACGCUGGCGGCGUGCUUAACACAUGCAAGUCGAGCGGUAAGGCCCUUUCGGGGGUACACGAGCAGCGAGCGGGUGAGUAACACGUGGGUGACCUGCCCUCAGCUCUGGGAUAAGCCUGGGAAACCGGGUCUAAUACUGGAUAUGACUCCAUGACGCAUGUUGUGGGGUGGAAAGCCUUGUGCGGCUGAGGAUGGGCCCGCGGCCUAUCAGCUUGUUGGUGGGGGAUGGCCUACCAAGGCGACGACGGGUAGCCGGCCUGAGAGGGCGACCGGCCACACUGGGACUGAGACACGGCCCAGACUCCUACGGGAGGCAGCAGUGGGGAAUCUUGCGCAAUGGGCGAAAGCCUGACGCAGCGACGCCGCGUGAGGGAUGACGGCCUGGUGUAAC
This 395-nucleotide ribosomal RNA is filed under the name uncultured bacterium. Its description in RNAcentral is "bacterial SSU rRNA". It matches the Rfam family "Bacterial small subunit ribosomal RNA", at positions 28 to 429 of the family's 1533-position model. The record is from RNAcentral.